RNAcentral lists this long non-coding RNA (336 nucleotides) under Hordeum vulgare. Its description in RNAcentral is "long non-coding RNA (HVUL_LNC004338)". The record is from RNAcentral. Lineage: Eukaryota; Viridiplantae; Streptophyta; Magnoliopsida; Poales; Poaceae.
AUCUCCGCAUCGCGAUGCUACUUUCGUAGGGGAGAGCAGUCAGUCCCCACCAAGGUGAGUAUAAGGGCUUUUUUUGGGGGGUAAUUUCGCUUCGUUCAUCUUCAAGUGCCGACAGUUUCUAUUCCCGAGUGUGAAAAGCCAGUACUGGAUAGACGGUUUAGAUACGUCACUGAGUGCCCCAUGGGUCAUCUUGUUUCCUAUUCAUUGGAAGCUACAUAAAGCAUCCCUAUAUUAAGAUGAAGUAAGAAAGCAUCAGUCCUCUUAUUUUCUGUCUUCUAUGAAAGAAUGUAGCUCGCUCUUUCAACCCGGGGCCCCCUCUGGGGAACUGUUUGAGUU